UGGGGAAUCUUGGACAAUGGGCGCAAGCCUGAUCCAGCCAUGCCGCGUGGAUGAUGAAGGCCUUAGGGUUGUAAAAUCCUUUCGUUGGGGACGAUAAUGACGGUACCCAAAGAAGAAGCUCCGGCUAACUUCGUGCCAGCAGCCGCGGUAAUACGAAGGGAGCUAGCGUUGUUCGGAAUCACUGGGCGUAAAGCGCACGUAGGCGGAUAGUUAAGUCAGGGGUGAAAUCCUGGGGCUCAACCCCAGAACUGCCUUUGAUACUGGCUGUCUCGAGGUCGAGAGAGGUUGGUGGAAUUCCUAGUGUAGAGGUGAAAUUCGUAGAUAUUAGGAAGAACACCAGUGGCGAAGGCGGCCAACUGGCUCGAUACUGACGCUGAGGUGCGAAAGCGUGGGGAGCAAACAGGAUUAGAUACCCCAGUAGUCCCUGAGCGGGCUGGCAAGGCGCAU
This 447-nucleotide ribosomal RNA is filed under the name uncultured bacterium. Its description in RNAcentral is "bacterial SSU rRNA". It matches the Rfam family "Bacterial small subunit ribosomal RNA", at positions 355 to 825 of the family's 1533-position model. The record is from RNAcentral.